GAUGAACGCUAGCGGCAGGCCUAACACAUGCAAGUCGAGGGAGAAGCCCUUUCGGGGGCAGAAACCGGCGCACGGGUGCGUAACGCGUAUGCAACCUACCUUUCACAGGGGGAUAGCCCGAAGAAAUUUGGAUUAAUACCCCAUAAUAUUAUUGGAUGGCAUCAUUUGAUAAUUAAAACUGCGGUGGUGAAAGAUGGGCAUGCGUCCUAUUAGCUAGUUGGCGUGGUAACGGCACCCCAAGGCUACGAUAGGUAGGGGUCCUGAGAGGGAGAUCCCCCACACUGGUACUGAGACAGGGACCAGACUCCUACGGGAGGCAGCAGUGAGGAAUAUUGGUCAAUGGUCGGAAGACUGAACCAGCCAUGCCGCGUGCAGGAAGAAUGCCUUAUGGGUUGUAAACCGCUUUUAUAUGGGAAGAAUAAGGUGUACGUGUACAUUGAUGACGGUACCAUAUGAAUAAGCAUCGGCUAACUCCGUG
Molecule: ribosomal RNA, 478 nt
Filed under: uncultured bacterium
Lineage: Bacteria
Description: partial 16S ribosomal RNA
Rfam family: Bacterial small subunit ribosomal RNA
Source: RNAcentral